GACGAACGCUGGCGGCGUGCUUAACACAUGCAAGUCGAGCGGUAAGGCCCUUUCGGGGGUACACGAGCGGCGAACGGGUGAGUAACACGUGGGUGACCUGCCUUCAGCUCUGGGAUAAGCCUGGGAAACUGGGUCUAAUACCGGAUAUGACUCCAUGAUGCAUGUUGUGGGGUGGAAAGCUUUUGCGGCUGGGGAUGGGCCCGCGGCCUAUCAGCUUGUUGGUGGGGUGAUGGCCUACCAAGGCGA
Molecule: ribosomal RNA, 246 nt
Filed under: uncultured Actinomycetes bacterium
Lineage: Bacteria; Bacillati; Actinomycetota; Actinomycetes
Description: uncultured actinobacterium partial 16S ribosomal RNA
Rfam family: Bacterial small subunit ribosomal RNA
Source: RNAcentral